Molecule: long non-coding RNA, 1550 nt
Filed under: Helianthus annuus (common sunflower)
Lineage: Eukaryota; Viridiplantae; Streptophyta; Magnoliopsida; Asterales; Asteraceae
Description: hypothetical non coding rna
Source: RNAcentral
GGUUAUAAAUGGUUUCUUGCUGACAACCUCAAGAACGCAUAUCAGACUUCCCAGUAUCAUCAUCGCACUCCCUCAUUUGGCAUCCCAAAACUUGCAUCACAGAUAUCCUAUUUUCUUGAUUCUUGCUCCGAAUAAAACUGGGUUUCUUUUCGUUCUUCGGCAUCAUGGAUUCUUCUUCGGGAUCAGAAUUUGAUUAUUUGUUCAAGUUAUUGAUGAUUCGGGAUUCAUGCUUUGGUUGUUUAAUUUCGACGGCAGUAACCUGCGUAUAAUCUGCUGAUAUCUAGGUUUUGUUCAUACAUCGCUUACAAGGCAUGUUGUUUCUCACUUUCUCUUGAUGGACCAGUGGUGACUGCAUUAGGCUUUGGGGAUGAGCUUGGAGUUGUCACACACUCUUCUCCAUCCCUCCCUUUGAAUGAGCAAAUGCUAACGUUUGAUAUUCUUAACCUCCCUCAAAAGGUGAGUUGGUUGGUCAAUUACCUUAAGAAAUCUGCUAAUUGAAUUUUUUUACUCUGAUUUAUGUAAUUUUAAAUGAUUGUCUGAUCGAGUGCAUGGCAGCCAUCUCUUAAUAUUUAAACUGUUCUCACAAACAUUAGGCUAUUAUUGAAUGAACUACCUUCCAUGAUGAUAGACUAAUGUGUGAAGCUAGAACGAAGUAUAAAUACAAUAAACAAGUUUUUGACCAGAAAGCAAGUUCGAUGAUCGAAAAUAUGUUGGAUCUGGUGCUUGUCCAAAUCAUGGUGGGAUUCAAUUUGUCACAUAUGUAAUCAUGGUAUGUAUGUAUGUAUGUGUUGCUUGAAAAGCAGGUGAUGGACUAAUGAUCUCAAGGAUCGAGCGAGUCAAUGACAAUGAGGGUUGCCCUGUUUUGUUGGUUCGAACUGACCAACCUAAUUGAGGUGUUAUGUGUACAAAUCAUACUUUUUGUGUCACCAUUGUUGAUAUUACAACCUAAAGACAUUCGUUUUGUGACCACUUUCUUGGUUUCAUUUAGAAAAUUCGGGGGUGGAGCUAUAGUCGGUGUAGUUUUUAAAUAGCUUUAUUUAUUUUCUGUCUGUUGCAAAAUACACCACAUCAAACCAUAGUUACUGCUUGGCUCAAGUGGGUUCCACAGGAACCCGUGAAAACACCAGUGGAGUGAAACUUAAAUAAAAAUGGCAGAUGCAAUAGCAAUAGAUACAGGUUGCUUGGCGACUGCACCAGGCAAACUUUUUUCAUCCAUAGCAGACAUGACAUUUGUUUAGAUAAGGGUUGUUAAAUGGGGCAAUGGGGCAAAACUUGGAAAAUAUAGAUGGUAUGAAAAUGGGUCAAACAGGUUGAAACACACAAUAAGAAGAUGGUUGUUCUCUUAAUCUCUUGUCUUGUAAGAUUGAGGGAUCUCCAAUUGUGGGUGCAAAAAAUAAUUAAUUUGAUGGUGCGCGCUACUUUCAUAAUGGCAGUGUGAAUAUAAUGUUUAUACAACAAAUAAGAUAGAAUUUUGAUUUAUUAGGUCAAAUGAAAAUGCCAUUUUUGGUAUGAUAUCUAUAAUUUCAAGAUAAAUAUAACAAUUGGGACUU